UACCAGCACCCCGAGUGGUCGGGACGUUUAUUGGGCCUAAAGCAUCCGUAGCCGGUUCUACAAGUCUUCCGUUAAAUCCAGCUGCUUAACAGAUGGGCUGCGGAAGAUACUAUGGAGCUAGGAGGCGGGAGAGGCAAGCGGUACUCGAUGGGUAGGGGUAAAAUCCGUUGAUCCAUUGAAGACCACCAGUGGCGAAGGCGGCUUGCCAGAAUGCGCUCGACGGUGAGGGAUGAAAGCUGGGGGAGCAACCGG
Molecule: ribosomal RNA, 252 nt
Filed under: uncultured bacterium
Lineage: Bacteria
Description: partial 16S ribosomal RNA
Rfam family: Archaeal small subunit ribosomal RNA
Source: RNAcentral